UCUGUAUAUUUCACACUAUUUUUUAUUGAACAUUGUGUUUUGAAAAAUACAUCACUAGUCAAUUGCAACCUCAAGUUAAUGUAGACUUUAAGGAACUUGUUUGUCUGAAAGUGGAUAUAUAAAGAUUUUUUGUUUUAAGAUGCUGCAUGGAAUGACAAUGUGGUUUGGAACAGACUUGGUGAAGAACAUGGAAACAUCUCUUAAUAAAAUGGCCCCAAACAUCAUCAGGAGUGCAAAAGAAGGAAGUAAAAACAUCUCUACGCCAAUCUCAUUGGAGAGGAAACCACAGAAGGUCUGGUGAGGAAUGCUGCACUUAUGUUAUUGCAAGCAUUAUUUCAAGAAAAUCCCAGCUUCCUUUACUGUGUAAAUAGUGAACCCAAAGGUCCCACACCAACCAUAGUGUUCAACGGCUCUCCUGAUCUUUUCAAAUCUGAAUGUAUCAACUUUAUAAUGGACAAUGUGAACUUAAUAUGUGGAAGACAUUGACAUCACAGGCUGUGGAAUGACUGUGUCACAGGUCGGAGAAGCGGACCGCCCCUGUCGCGGAUCACGCUCCUCCUAGUUCCACCUCGAGGAGGUCCCAAAGCACCCCAAUGACCAGACAAACCAGAGGGGGAGUAUUACGGGGCCAGGGACGUUGGAGGGGUUUCCACGUGACUCCAGCUGGAACACCGCUACAGAGCGUAUCUGGGUGGGUUGGGCACACACCGUCGCGGCGGCCCCUGAUGGCAUCCACAAGGGUCCAAGACCCUCCUAAGCUCCUAGCCGUAGCAGAACUACGUAUUUCAGCACCCGAAGGACUAACAACCCAGCCGGCAUCUGCAGCGUAUAUCCAACGCGAUCAAACUUCACUCUGACAAGUAACUUCCUAUACACAACCACGCCGUCCUUUUGCCCGGACCAGCCCCGCACUCUUUCCGCCUGCUACCUAGCGGUCGCCGGAUCAGCAGAGCCUGCGGACUCUUCGGAGGCUGGUCUUCGUUGUGCUGCCCAAGGCGGAAGUUGACUCGCCCGAAAAUCGACCCUUCCAGUAACUUCUACCUUCUCUCUUUAUAUCCUCCUCCCAGGCGUGGCUCGCCCAACCAUCGCUCGCCACGUCACUCACACAGCUGUACCUUGUUUCAGCGAGUGCGGGGAUUCCCGGGGAACCCUGAAGUGCCGGUGUCUGUACAAACCGGUCCGGGCGGAACCUCUUCACUCUCCUUUUGGUUCCGCCUCGCAUAGUCACUCCGUGACAACUGUUUGCGUUUUUUUUUCUCCUCAAUGUUCAAUACCCUUUUGCCAUUAAGCACACAGUGACUUUAAUUUAUAAAAUAUAUGCUUAAGUUUUAAUACCUGUACAAAACAAAUGUACAAUCAACUUGUGUAAAUUUUAAUAAAAAUUUAAGCUUUAAUUGCUUGUUCAUGUUAGUUCAGAGUGCAUUAACUAAUGUUAACAAGAUUUUAAUAAAGUAAUUGUUGAAAUUAACAUUAACAAAGAUUAAUAAAGGCUGUAUAAGUGCAGUUCAUUAUUAGUUCAUGUUAACUAAUGUAGCUAACUAAUGUUAACUAAUGAACCUUAUUGUAAAGUGUUACCUUGAUUUCUUUUCAUCAUUUCAGACACAUGUAAAAGUUACUAAAAAUUAAUACUGCAUAUACUGUACAGUAUCUAUGCGUAAGGGAAAUAACUUAAACAAAAUUUUUAAUGUAUAGUGUAAUUAAGAGUUUAGCUGUUUAAUACAGAGAUGCAAUUUAUUUAUAUAUAUUAUUUAUAUAUAAACGUAUGUAUGUUUAUUAAAAAGUGAAAAUGCUUAAUGGAAAAA
Molecule: non-coding RNA, 1802 nt
Organism: Misgurnus anguillicaudatus (oriental weatherfish)
Lineage: Eukaryota; Metazoa; Chordata; Actinopteri; Cypriniformes; Cobitidae
Source: RefSeq, a predicted model, not a curated record